AGUGAACGCUGGCGGUAGGCCUAACACAUGCAAGUCGAACGGCAGCACAGUAAGAGCUUGCUCUUACGGGUGGCGAGUGGCGGACGGGUGAGGAAUACAUCGGAAUCUACUUUUUCGUGGGGGAUAACGUAGGGAAACUUACGAUAAUACCGCAUACGACCUACGGGUGAAAGCAGGAGAUCUUCGGACCUUGCGCGAUUGAAUGAGCCGAUGUCGGAUUAGCUAGUUGGCGGGGUAAAGGCCCACCAAGGCGACGAUACGUAGCUGGUCUGAGAGGAUGAUCAGCCACACUGGAACUGAGACACGGUCCAGACUCCUACGGGAGGCAGCAGUGGGGAAUAUUGGACAAUGGGCGCAAGCCUGAUCCAGCCAUACCGCGUGGGUGAAGAAGGCCUUCGGGUUGUAAAGCCCUGUUGUUGGGAAAGAAAAGCAGCAGGUUAAUACCCCGCUGUUCUGACGGUACCCAAAGAAUAAGUACCGGCUAACUUCGUG
RNAcentral lists this ribosomal RNA (492 nucleotides) under uncultured bacterium. Its description in RNAcentral is "partial 16S ribosomal RNA". It matches the Rfam family "Bacterial small subunit ribosomal RNA", at positions 29 to 507 of the family's 1533-position model. The record is from RNAcentral.